This 253-nucleotide ribosomal RNA is filed under the name uncultured bacterium. RNAcentral describes it as "partial 16S ribosomal RNA". It matches the Rfam family "Bacterial small subunit ribosomal RNA", at positions 524 to 777 of the family's 1533-position model. The record is from RNAcentral.
UACGAAGGGGGCUAGCGUUGCUCGGAAUUACUGGGCGUAAAGCGCACGUAGGCGGCUUCUUAAGUCGGUGGUGAAAUCCUGGAGCUCAACUCCAGAACUGCCUUCGAUACUGGGAGCUCGAGUCCGGGAGAGGUGAGUGGAACUGCGAGUGUAGAGGUGAAAUUCGUAGAUAUUCGCAAGAACACCAGUGGCGAAGGCGGCUCACUGGCCCGGUACUGACGCUGAAAUACGAAAGCGUGGGGAGCAAACAGGG